CACCCAGGGGAAGCUCCACUCCCAGGUGCUCUGACACAGCCAGGAUCAGAGGAUGGUCUUCUGUGGCUUCACCUCCUCUCCUGAACUUGUGUGGCAUUUCUCACAGUCUAGUGCCCCUCUCCAAUCUCCGAACAAGCACAUGUACCAGCUGCUGUGCUCCUGGAAGACAGCCAGACUUCUUAGAUUUUCACCAACUGUGUCUCUUCCUUCAACUGCAGCAUCUGACUAGAAACAUCGGUGUUAAAUGGGCUACCAAUCUGGAUAUGAUCCUAACUUCUUGACCUUGUGAAGGUUGACAUAUCACUGGCUCGACACUCAGUUGCUAUCUUUCUAAACUAACUAACAGUUUACCUCUUUUUGAGCCUGAGCUCUCCUGAAUCUUCACUUGAGCAUUAAAUUUCAAUAGAUCAGCUGAAGAGAAAGCUCUGUCAAAGUACUUGUGAUCCAGGCAUUGGGAUCGGAGACCAGAACUCCACCAUCUACUUUUGGAAAAAGACAAGUAUGGUAUCAGCUGGGGAGGCAGAGAUGGACAGAUACCACCCAGCCUUGUCUAAUCACCAAACUAGGAUAAACGUGACCCUCCCAAGAUACAAGGAGGACAACUCCUGAAAAAUGAUACCUGAGGUUGACCUCCAUCUUCAUACACAUCACAAACACACACACACAAAUCUAUUAGAAGUCUCUAAUGUUCUGGACUCAAGGUCCCCACUGUCCUCUGGUCCUUUGCUCCCAAACUGUCUCUCCACACCUUUCCUUUUCAAAGCCACCUCUUGCAAAUGCAGCCACUAACUCUUUGGAAUUUCACAUUGAUUCCUUUUGCUUCAUAUGCAAAAUAAUAGUAAAACCUUCCCACAAAAUCUUCUGCAAGUCUUCUUGAAAAUUUGUAGUAUGUAUGGUAUGUUUUGAUGGAAGUUUUAAUUAAACAUUUAGAACUAA
Molecule: long non-coding RNA, 936 nt
Organism: Mastomys coucha (southern multimammate mouse)
Lineage: Eukaryota; Metazoa; Chordata; Mammalia; Rodentia; Muridae
Exons: 2
Source: RefSeq, a predicted model, not a curated record